This 66-nucleotide transfer RNA is filed under the name Dipodomys ordii (Ord's kangaroo rat). It matches the Rfam family "tRNA". Rfam says of the family: Transfer RNA (tRNA) molecules are approximately 80 nucleotides in length. Their secondary structure includes four short double-helical elements and three loops (D, anti-codon, and T loops). The record is from Rfam by way of RNAcentral. Lineage: Eukaryota; Metazoa; Chordata; Mammalia; Rodentia; Heteromyidae.
GGAGGUAUGGCUUAGUGGUAGAGCAUAGCAAGUGUGAGUGCCUGAGUUUAAACCUCAGUAUCUCAC